Molecule: ribosomal RNA, 495 nt
Filed under: uncultured bacterium
Lineage: Bacteria
Description: partial 16S ribosomal RNA
Rfam family: Bacterial small subunit ribosomal RNA
Source: RNAcentral
GAUGAACGCUGGCGGCGUGCCUAAUACAUGCCAGUAGAACGCUGAAGGAGGAGCUUGCUCUUCUGGAUGAGUUGCAAACGGGUGAGUAACGCGUAGGUAACCUGCCUGGUAGCGGGGGAUAACUAUUGGAAACGAUAGCUAAUACCGCAUGACAACAGUUAUUGCAUGAUAACUGUUUAAAAGGGGCAACUGCUCCACUACCAGAUGGACCUGCGUUGUAUUAGCUAGUUGGUGAGGUAACGGCUCACCAAGGCGACGAUACAUAGCCGACCUGAGAGGGUGAUCGGCCACACUGGGACUGAGACACGGCCCAGACUCCUACGGGAGGCAGCAGUAGGGAAUCUUCGGCAAUGGACGGAAGUCUGACCGAGCAACGCCGCGGGAGUGAAGAAGGUUUUCGGAUCGUAAAGCUCUGUUGUAAGAGAAGAACGAGUGUGAGAGUGGAAAGUUCACACUGUGACGGUAUCUUACCAGAAAGGGACGGCUAACUACGUG